CUUAUGCCCAUCUCAGAUCACCGCUCUACCUUUCUAACGAGAGUUUGAGUAGGACAGAAAUGAGAGUGGAUUCCUCAUACCGGCGACCCCAAUUUCCGGACAAACCACACUUCACGACCACCACCUUCGUCUCCUAACGACGAUGGCAGCGGCUUCUUCUCCCUGACCCGACGUUUCAAGUCACAUCAGCAGUUGAUGGCAGUUCUAAGGUGAUGUCUGGGUGUCUUAACUUCGGUGACGAUGAUGAUAAUGGGCUCAAGAUGAACGAUGGUCUCAUUGUAUCGCUCCCCUUUUGCGAGAACUGCCAUUCAUUCUUGGAUUUGGGUUUAGGGUUGUUUUUUUGAGGUUGUUUUGCUGAGCUAUGGACUAUGGUUAUGCGAAAAUCAGCCUUCAGAUUCACUUACAAGCAAAAGGUAUGGGCAGCUAAAGAACCUUCACAAGAACCGGAAAAAGACGCAAGCCCAUAUCAGAGAAAGAGAGAGAGAGCAAUAGAAAGAAUGCAUAGGGAGAAAGGGAACUGAUUCCACGGUGGGUUCAGCGGAGCUGCUGAGAUGGUUUUCCAUGGCGGUGGUUUACCGAAGAAGACGCAGUGGCAUCCGGCGGUCCGGCGCAUAGCGGAGUGUUUCGGAGUUGAUUUUCUGUUUGAGUGUUUCAGAGAAGAAGAAGAAGAAAAAGAUAUAGAAGAAGAAGAAGAAGAAGGAGAAGAAGAAAGGUCACCAUGAUAACCGCGAUAGAAGUAGUAGCAGCGACAACUAUUAGAUCUCAAUUGUCUCAUCGAUACGCGUUUAUUUCCAGAUCUAUUUGAUCUCACAAUUCACCAUACUCGAUGAUCUGAGUUUCGAUGGGUCGGGUUUGAAAUACGAUUGGGAUGAGUUUACGGUGGGUGUUGAGGGUGGUUUUAAAGAGAAUGGGAUUAAGAUUGGUGGUGGGGAUGGUUCUGUUUGAGAAGUGACUCCUGUCAAGUAGGAGUGUUCAUAAGCCAUUAUAAAGUGAUCGAACUACCCAAACCGAAACAAGUCGACUGGUUCACCGGUUCGAGCAGCGGUUUUGAAAGCGAAGGUAAAUAACAGAAAGAAUAUUGGAUCGAUGAGGAAGCCGAAGAAGGUUUAUGUUGAAGUUGAAGCCGAAGAAGAGGUGGAUUUGAUGGAGUACAAUAAUGUGAAAGGUAGAAGAAAGAGACUGCUAAACGAGAUGAAUAUGAAGAAGAACAAGGAAGAAUUGAUAAACCCGAGAUAAGUAGUAAAGCUGAGGUGGAUGAGAAACGUGAGGACGGAUUACACACCGAGGAACCAUCUUGUGUAGAGAAUGAGAACAAUGGCGGAGGAGAUGAUGGACCCACUGGAAAGAGUAAGGUUUCAAAGCAAGCUCCUGCGGUUAAACUUACCAGUAAAAAGGAGGCGAAAUCUAAAGCGAAAAAUCUACCCAAAGGAAACAAUCAGAAGCAACAUCAAGAAAUUCUGGGAAUGAAUGCGAUACUUAUGGAGCAGACUUUGAUUCAAGGACCAAGUUACAUAAACAUUUGAAUGACACGGGUCAUGCUACAAUCAAGUCACGUUGACAAUGAAGUUGAUAGAAUUUGCCGAUAUUACACUCUCUAUGAGGAUCUCGGUGGUUUGAAUGGUAUCAGCUUUGCUUAAAGUUAUAGCUUUGAUAGGGUAGGAUUCUACUUAUUGGUGAUAUCACCAGAAAAGAUGCUAAGUGCAUUAUAGUUGUAUUGAAUUGAUAUGGAGGAAAAUAUGUUUGUUAUUUGUUAUAAAAGGGUAAUUGUUCCCUUGCUUCA
This is a long non-coding RNA of Helianthus annuus (common sunflower), 1780 nucleotides long. RefSeq lists it as uncharacterized. Lineage: Eukaryota; Viridiplantae; Streptophyta; Magnoliopsida; Asterales; Asteraceae. The transcript has 5 exons. The record is from RefSeq and is a predicted model, not a curated record.